CUACUACUCCCUCCGUCCGAAAAUACUUUUCAUUGAAAUGGAUGUAUCUAGAUGUAUUUUAGUUCUAGACACAUCCAUUUUGAUGACAAGUAAUUCCGGACGGAGGGAGUAUUAU
This is a non-coding RNA of Triticum aestivum (bread wheat), 115 nucleotides long. NCBI's taxonomy places the organism in Eukaryota, Viridiplantae, Streptophyta, Magnoliopsida, Poales, Poaceae. The record is from Rfam.